This is a long non-coding RNA of Calidris pugnax (ruff), 1706 nucleotides long. RefSeq lists it as uncharacterized. The transcript is spliced from 3 exons. The record is from RefSeq and is a predicted model, not a curated record. Lineage: Eukaryota; Metazoa; Chordata; Aves; Charadriiformes; Scolopacidae.
UCUCCAUUUUGUUAUAAUCCAAAUGCAUUUAUAUUACUAUUAUUAUAAAGUGCCAGAAACACACGCAGCCCCCUCGCAAAGGCGUUAAAUAGACAAGAGACUCAAUUCUGCCCUUGGUUACACUUGCACAUCUCCAGUGAGAGGGCUGUUAAGCUGCGGAGCCAUCUCCCUGGGGAAGCUGUUUGAAGAGCCCUGCCAUUGUUCUAACAAAGCUCGGUGAUAACGUAGCACACCAGGAGAGUAUUUUACUUUAGAUUUGAUGGCCUGCGUCUAACAAACCGAAUCUCUUUCGUCGUAUCAGAAUAAUGGCAGGAGAGGAAGAUUGUCUCCUCUUCGCUGUUUUUCCUGCUCAAACCCCGUUAUCACUUCUCAUCAUCAGACUGUGACUUCUUGGAGGAGGCAUUUUGGAUUAAAUUCUUCCGAGUUUUAUGUGUGCGGUUCCUGUAAAAUUCUCUUUCAACAGGGAACGUCCUGCAGGAUGGUGAGUAAUCUUCUGGAGUAGAUUGGGCUGUCCCAUUAGAUGCAGUGCUAAGGGACAUGGUGUAGGGGAUGACCUUGUAGAGUAGGGUAGAUGGUUGGACUCGAUGAUCCCAAGGGUCUCUUCCAACCUAGACGAUUCUAUGGCUUUUUGGGUGUGCGGGACCGGAGAAAGCAAAGCCAGGAGAUAGAGGUGGGCUCCAUGCUGGCACCUGGAGCUGUACCAGAGGUCAUAAAAGGGGCCUCUAAAUUGUUCUGGUGCCAGAAAGGUGGAGAGUGGGCUCUUCAGUGAGAAGGGAAAUUAAAUUUGUUAGUGAUUAAAAGGACAAGAGAGACGCGUUGGAAGCAAUUGGUGCCAAUGAGGCCUCUCGGCGGCUCCCGAAGCAAAUUGCAGUCUCGGGGGAAUAUCAGCUUCUCGGUCCAUCAAAUUGCAGUAAUCAAGUCUGGAGCUGAUGGGAGCAUGAGCCCCCACUUAAUUUUCUCAUCAGCGGAGGCCAAGUUUGCAAAAUAUUUUUAGAUGCGUUUCCGCAGAGAUUUCUGCCAGCGGGUGACCUGUGGAGUGACAAGAAAAUGAGCAAUAGCUGCCGGGGAAUCGGGCUCUGCUGAGUCCAACUGCAGCUUUGGGCAGGGAGGGCAGGGAGAUCAAAGGCCUUUGGCAUUGCUGUGCAGAAAAGAGCCCCGCUGGGUUGAUCCCAUCACCUGGAUUUGUUAAGCAAUAAAAUAACCUGUUAAUUCUCAGGCUGUCUGGUAGGUUCAGAUCAACGCCGACCCCGUGCUGCUCACCCAGACCAGAACCAGGCACGAGAGAAGAAAGUGAUUUGUGGUUCCUGCUCGGAGAAACAGCCGAUACCCAACAGCUUGCAGCCCACGGAAGAGAACAUGCAUCUCCUAAGGAUCCCAUCCUGGUUCCUGGCCUUGCUGCUUUGCCUCCCUUGGCUUGUGUGGUCCUGAGUAGCUGCAGAAGCUGGGCCAAAAGGGCUGGCCAAGCCACCCAGCCAGAUCUUCAUAAUAACUGCAUGAGACAGUGUUGUCCUGGACCAGAGGGGAACAGAGUCAAGGAAAGGCUUGAUGAUGGGCAAAACCAGAGUGAUUUCAGACAGAAAAGUGAGGGAUGGCAGCCUAACGUGGACCAUGGAUGGCUGGAGGCUGACGUGCACUGGAGGAACUGAGCCAUUCUGCUGGAAAUGGGGGAUCUGUGACCAACACAGCCAUGCACCUCCAGAGGGAAA